This is a long non-coding RNA of Dreissena polymorpha, 1871 nucleotides long. RefSeq lists it as uncharacterized. The record is from RefSeq and is a predicted model, not a curated record. The transcript has 3 exons. Lineage: Eukaryota; Metazoa; Mollusca; Bivalvia; Myida; Dreissenidae.
AGCAGACACCAAUGUCAAACUUGUUUUGUCAUUUUCACAGUUUCAUUUCCAUGUACAUCUAAUAUGGUUCGACAAAAGAACUUCAUCAGCCAAAGGAAUGCCACAUUCUUCGGGGAAGAAAACAUGGCUACAUCUGGAGAGAGCUUAAAGAUCUACUAUGACUGUAAAGCCCAGAUGGUCCUAUGAUGACUCAACAAUAGAUGACAAGGAAAACACAAGAACACCUUUUUAAGACGAGGUCCACUUUUGAGAACUUUGACUGGAAAUCAUAGUGCUUCAUUUGUGGCGAAAAGUGCAGCUGUCAUAGAGACAAUACAUCAAGAGGUUUUAGCAGAAGUUGGUCCCUAGGGCCAAAAAAAAAAUGUGUGUUUCGGGAAACGGCUGAAUUUUUUUUAGGUAUGGUAGGUAUUUUUGUCUGAUCUUUGCGAUGGCUCACAUGCUUUUGCAAUGGGAAUAUCCGGAAAAAACAUCGUACCGAAGUAUGCGCGUCCUAGAAAUUGGACCAUAUUCCGUUUCUUGUUGAAUUCUCAAAUGCGCAUAAUUGAAUUUGAAAUCCGAAACACUCUUCCCUAUUUAUUUUUUACUCGACGUUAUCACAUUCUUCAAACAAACUGUAAAUGUACAGUGUGUUUUUAUCUUUUCUCUCGAGAAAAGCGCGCGCAAAUUAUUCCCUACAUGAACAACGUCACGUCAAACGCAUGGAAAGCGUGCGUGCAUUAAAUUUCCGUUCAAUGUUCCGUGGUAAAUUUUAACAGAAUGAUAUAGCGAAUGAUUUGGAAUUUGACAUUUCCUCAAAAUUAAUUGCAAAUCAAACACAGUGUAUAUUUAAUUUAUCGUUAAGGACGUUUACAUAAGUCACUAUUGAAACAGUUAUUGUACUGUAUACUGGUGCAACAGAAAAUCCAGACGAAACUGGAUUAAAUGUUGGGUGUUGUCAAAACGAAUCCCGUAUUAAACCCCCUUGGGAAGAAACACCCUUCCCUAAAAACAGCAUAGCGGAAGAAACUCCCUUUCACAUUUUGCAUAAACGGAAGAAACACCCUUCCAUAGCGGAACAAACCCCCUUCCAGUUUUCAGACAGGCGGAAUAAACCCCCUUCAUAACUGUUAUUCAAACUGUUCGAAAAACAUUGACACGUAAUUAGAUUCACAAUUUUCCUGUUUGAAGCAAUAAUAAACAUUUUGUAUAUUACAUGCUCACAUUAGUAUCACUACAUUAUAUAUAUGAUACAGAGACAAAAUAUAAACUCAAUCGUGAUACAUCGGCUAUCUCGGAUUCCUCCGUAAGAUAGGCCUCGUGGCUAACGGUCGCCAUAUUGCCUUGUAUUACUACUUUACUACCCAAAAGGUUGUCAGUCUAUUGUUAUGAGGCUGUAUACGAUGCGCGUUGAACUAGCGCCAAACUUUUUACCGAAACUUUGAUAUUAAUAGCACUAUUAACGUUCAUUUGUGUUGCAUUUUGACCUAUUAUCCAAGCGAUUUACUUUUCCAUUAUUAUUUAAUCACCCUAUCAUCCAAUUUUUAAGAUGAAAUUACGGUGUUUACAAAACCAACCAAACCGAAAGUGAAACUGGAUGCAUUACGUUUCGCGAUGUAAACAUUAAAUAUUUGUUCAGUUUGAGGAAGCGAAUCGAUAAUAGACGUUGGAAUAUGUAUGCAAUACAGACUAUCAUUGCCGAUUGUAAUACUGGCUAAAAAAUACCUUUUAUGACAGGUCAUGUAUAGAACGUUAAUCAAAUAGUGACCAUAAAUCACUACAAAUGUCUGGGUUGUUCAUUAAUAUAAUUAAUGCACGUUUCUGAUCUAAUUGCCUGUAUCUAGUUGUAAUUACCAUGAUAUUGAUAAAAUUAAAACGUUUUUUUCAUAAAUUAA